This 74-nucleotide transfer RNA is filed under the name Bacteroidetes bacterium QH_8_67_23. RNAcentral's name for it is "tRNA-Val". It matches the Rfam family "tRNA". Rfam says of the family: Transfer RNA (tRNA) molecules are approximately 80 nucleotides in length. RNAcentral also lists the same sequence under 1 other name. Lineage: Bacteria; Pseudomonadati; Bacteroidota. The record is from RNAcentral.
GGGUCCAUAGCUCAGUUGGUUAGAGCGCGUCGUUGACAUCGACGAGGUCAGUGGUUCGAGUCCACUUGGACCCA